AUAUCAUUUGGAUCGUCGGUCUACCGAGCAUUUGCAUCCGCUCCGUGGAAGAUUUUUCCUUUUUCGU
This 67-nucleotide microRNA precursor is filed under the name Bombyx mori (domestic silkworm). RNAcentral's name for it is "mir-2774 microRNA precursor family". It matches the Rfam family "mir-2774 microRNA precursor family". Lineage: Eukaryota; Metazoa; Arthropoda; Insecta; Lepidoptera; Bombycidae. The record is from Rfam by way of RNAcentral.